RNAcentral lists this ribosomal RNA (709 nucleotides) under uncultured bacterium. RNAcentral describes it as "bacterial SSU rRNA". It matches the Rfam family "Bacterial small subunit ribosomal RNA", at positions 60 to 815 of the family's 1533-position model. The record is from RNAcentral.
AGUCGAACGGAUCCUUCGGGAUUAGUGGCGGACGGGUGAGUAACACGUGGGAACGUGCCUUUUGGUUCGGAACAACUCAGGGAAACUUGAGCUAAUACCGGAUAAGCCUUUCGAGGGAAAGAUUUAUCGCCAUUAGAGCGGCCCGCGUAGGAUUAGCUAGUUGGUGGGGUAAAGGCCCACCAAGGCUACGAUCCUUAGCUGGUCUGAGAGGAUGAUCAGCCACAUUGGGACUGAGACACGGCCCAAACUCCUACGGGAGGCAGCAGUGGGGAAUCUUGCGCAAUGGGCGAAAGCCUGACGCAGCCAUGCCGCGUGAAUGAUGAAGGUCUUAGGAUUGUAAAAUUCUUUCACCGGGGACGAUGAUGACGGUACCCGGAGAAGAAGCCCCGGCUAACUUCGUGCCAGCAGCCGCGGUAAUACGAAGGGGGCUAGCGUUGCUCGGAAUUACUGGGCGUAAAGGGAGCGUAGGCGGAUAGUUUAGUCAGAGGUGAAAGCCCAGGGCUCAACCUUGGAAUUGCCUUUGAUACUGGCUAUCUUGAGUACGGAAGAGGUAUGUGGAACUCCGAGUGUAGAGGUGAAAUUCGUAGAUAUUCGGAAGAACACCAGUGGCGAAGGCGACAUACUGGUCCGUUACUGACGCUGAGGCUCGAAAGCGUGGGGAGCAAACAGGAUUAGAUACCCUGGUAGUCCACGCUGUAAACGAUGAGUG